Molecule: RNA transcript, 3381 nt
Organism: Planococcus citri (citrus mealybug)
Lineage: Eukaryota; Metazoa; Arthropoda; Insecta; Hemiptera; Pseudococcidae
Gene: Amun
Gene name: protein amun
Exons: 8
Source: RefSeq, a predicted model, not a curated record
GUUUCCAACUUUCCAUGUAAAAGCGGGGUUCAAGAAGUUUCUUUUAUUGUUAUGUCUCGAUGUAAAAUAUUCAAGUGUGUAGAAAUAAUUGAUAGUAGAGAAUUUUAUUGAAAAACGUAAUCAUUUGCACACUAGGUUUCGCGAAUUACGAUGUAAAUAUUGUUAUCGGUCGGUAUCAAACGCGGUUAAGUGAGCUAAGAUUUCUAACAGUAUUUUCAUAUAGUUAACAUGGCUUCCAUGAAAGACACAGCCACCUUUUUUACAGAAGGUACUGCGUCUCAGUUUCAGUAUAUGUUAAGUUUAUACCCUCAAGUAUUAAAGCUAAAAGCCGCUAGGAAAGCUGAGAGUAAAAACAAAAACCCGGAGGAUCUAAUUAAACUCGACAAUUGGUACCAGAAUGAAUUACCAAAAAAACUCAAAGCCAGAGGGAAAGAUGCUCAUUUGAAUCACGAAGAAUUAGUUCAACUCAUGAAAUGGAAGCAAGCUAGAGGCAAAUAUUACCCUCAGUUAAAUUAUUUAAUUAAAGUAAAUACUCCUCGAGCUGUAAUGAAUGAAACGAAGAAAGCUUUUAAGAAAUUGCCCAACCUGGAACAAGCAAUCACCGCGCUUAGCAAUUUAAAGGGAGUUGGUACUACGACAGCUUCAGCUUUAUUAGCUGCUGCUGCGCCUGAUAUUGCACCUUUUAUGGCCGACGAAUGUUUGCUGGCGAUUCCUGAAAUCGAAGGCAUUGAUUACACGACGAAAGAAUACAUGAAUUUUGUAUCACACAUUCAAAAUACCUCGGAUAGACUCAGUAAAGAAUCAACAAACGGAACGUGGAACCUGCAUUCCGUCGAGUUGGCUUUAUGGACUCAUUUUGUAGCUAGUGAAUUGAAACCAGAAUUAUUGGACGGUAUUCCAUGUCCGAAUGGCAAAACACCGUCGAAUGUUACUCACCAAAACGGCGACGUUUCAAAUACUGCCUCGAAGACAACUUCGCCGGAGAAUGCAGAUUUAUCUAACGAUGUAACUUCAUCAGAGGAUGCCGACAAUACUAAUAAGGUAGCUAACGCCGAGUGUUCAAAUUCAAAUAAUGACGAAAAUGACGCGAUUUCAAUUAACGAAGAAGACUCGUUGGAUAAGUCUUCGGUGACGCGUAUCAACGCCGAAAUUAAUAACGACGAUGAUGCGACCAACGAUUCAGUGAUAACUUCUGAUUCAGCUACGAACGAUUCUGUCGAAGUUGAAAACAAACAGAAGAACGUCGUAGUGGACAUUAACGAAGAAACUUGCUCGAGUUUCCUCGAACCGCCUAAUAAAAAGGUCAAGUUACAAAAUGAAAACAGUUUGGAUGCGGUAGAGAACAACAGUUCGGAUGCGGUAGAGAACGAUGAUUCGCAAAACUCUAUACCGGAUAAUAAAUGACAAUGUUCCCUGUUUUAUACUUACCUUCACAAUGUGUACGUGUAUUAAAUGCGAUAUCAGUAACAGCAAGUAUUCAAAUAGUAAGAAAAUUUUGCACAUUUGUAAAAAGUUAUACGAUUUUGGAGUAGUAGGUAAUUUUAAUUUUAUUCACGGAUCUGUGUAAUUUAUUAAUUUUAUAUAUUUAUUAAAAUUUAAAUGAAUACGAUGAAAUGAAUAAUAAAAAUUAACGAUCGAUGCGGUAAAAAGAAAAAAAAGGGAUUCAAGAUGAGAUUACUUUUGAAAAAGUACGAAUGUGCAAUGCGAUUCUGAUCAGUUUUCAUGUUGAAACGUUCGUCUUCGUCGUCGUGAUUUGUUUGGUAAUAAGCUUCGCUUAGUUUUUAAAAAUUGAAAAAAUUGAAAAAAAAAACUGAAAGUAUAACAAAUUAUUUAAAACUUUUUUAUCGAUUUUUUUUCUUUUUUUUUUUGAUUAAUUAUUUCGUAACUCUAAAUAGGACCUUAUAAAUUAUCGUUAGUGCUACUCGUUCUACUAUUAACGUUAAGGUUUAUGAAUUACGAUUUCUAUAUUGUUGUUAUUUAUAAUAAUUUUUCUAAUUUAUUACUUUUACUAUUAUUAUUACGGUAAUAAUGAUAAUAAUAAUGUCUUAUAGUUAUUAUUUAUUCGAUAAUUAUGGUUACUUAUUGUACGUAUGUAAUUUAUAAUAUUUGAAAUUCAAAUGUAGCCCUUUUUAUUCGUGUGUUGGUUGGUACUUUGUAAUCGACGAAUGGUGAUGUAAAAAAAAAAAAUUCCCCCGAAUAAACGUAACGGAUAUUAGCAGUAUGUACAAAAUGUUUUAUUACUUCAACGGAUAUGUGUGUAUUUUUUGAUCUUUUUUUUCUGUUUCUGUUUUGUUUUUUUUUUUUUUUUUUGUUUUUUUUCACCGUCUCUGUCUCUCGAAAUAAUUAUGAUGUAUAUAAAAAGCAGACAUUUUUAGACUACGAUGUAAUUAUCUACAUAUAUACCUGUUUUAUGCUUGCAAAUUAAUUUUUAAUAAAAGAAAUAUCGUAAGUAUUGUGUGCCUUAUCGUUUUAUUUUAAAAUAUUUAUAUAGUAGCGCGUGUAUUUCUAUUUUACUUUACUUGGGUGUCGUAUGUUGUACAAUGGUGAUCAGAAUCGAGUUUUUUUGAAGCAUAUACUGUUCUGUCUGGCACAUAUUCGUUGUAUUUUAAGUUGAAACGUUUUGUUAUUCACUAUUUUGGGAAAGUCGUUCUUAGAACUUAUUUAAAUUAUUAUGUUAAUGCCCAGUUGGAAAAAUGAAAAAUGCAUUACUAAUUAUUUAUUUUAUACCUUAACGGUACCUUAAUUUAUUUUUUUACCUAUUUAUGUCGCGACACGACCGUAUGAACCUGUACUUUGAGAUUUUUAUUUACGAAAUUGAUUUUCAUUUAUUUAUUUAUUCGUUCGUUCGUUUUUUCUGUAUGAAAAUACGCGUUGAUUCGAUUAACAACUUCUUCUUAUAAAUAUUACAAUGUACCGCGGCUUUAGUUUGGAUUUUUUUUUCACCAAUCGCUGUCUCAAUUGUAUUCCUGUUUACAUUCCUUUUUAUUUUAUUCAUCCGAAUCGAUGAAAAUGUACCUAUAAUUUAUUAUUUCUUUUUUUUUUUUCUUUCAUCGUCUAAGAAUACGAAGAUAUUGUGUUAUCGUUCGUAGAAGUACAUACAUUCGUUGUUUGAAUGGCGAUUUUUUUUUUGUUUUUUUUUGUUUCAACGUUGAAAUUUGAUGGUAUCUUCCUAAAGGGAAAAUGAUGGCGAAUAAAUGUGUACUUUGAAAAAAAAACGGAAUUAUCGAGUUUGUGAAAUAGUUUAAUUUAGUAUUGUCUAGUGCUUAUGGUGCUGUUAACGUUGGACUUGUAAUGUGUCGACCAACGAGAAGAGUAUUGUGUUUAUAUACUUUUUUAAAACAUUUCAUUAUGUCAUGCAUGAAUUAUACCCUUUUGAUUAAU